This 403-nucleotide ribosomal RNA is filed under the name bacterium. Its description in RNAcentral is "partial 16S ribosomal RNA". It matches the Rfam family "Bacterial small subunit ribosomal RNA", at positions 355 to 776 of the family's 1533-position model. The record is from RNAcentral.
UGGGGAAUAUUGCACAAUGGGGGAAACCCUGAUGCAGCGACGCCGCGUCAACGAAGAAGGUAUUCGUAUCGUAAAGUUCUGUCCUAUGGGAAGAUAAUGACAGUACCAUAGAAGAAAGCUCCGGCUAAAUACGUGCCAGCAGCCGCGGUAAUACGUAUGGAGCGAGCGUUGUCCGGAAUUAUUGGGCGUAAAGGGUACGCAGGCGGUUUAAUAAGUCGAAUGUUAAAGAUCGGGGCUCAACCCCGCAAAGCAUUGGAAACUGAUAAACUUGAGUAGUGGAGAGGAAAGUGGAAUUCCUAGUGUAGUGGUGAAAUACGUAGAUAUUAGGAGGAAUACCAGUAGCGAAGGCGACUUUCUGGACACAAACUGACGCUGAGGUACGAAAGCGUGGGGAGCAAACAGG